Molecule: ribosomal RNA, 411 nt
Filed under: Laona pruinosa
Lineage: Eukaryota; Metazoa; Mollusca; Gastropoda; Cephalaspidea; Laonidae
Description: Philine pruinosa partial 16S ribosomal RNA
Rfam family: Bacterial large subunit ribosomal RNA
Source: RNAcentral
AGCCCUGAGAAAUUAUUCAGGGUGAAGCCUGCCCAAUGAGAAAUUUAAUGGCCGCGGUACUUUGACCGUGCUAAGGUAGCAUAAUCAAUUGACUUUUAAAUGGAGUCUGGAAUGAAAGGAAAAACGGGAUUUAGCUGUCUCAAGUAUUUUAUUAUGAAUUUACUAAUUAAGUGAAAAGGCUUAAUAAUGAUAAAAGACGAUAAGACCCUUAGAGUUUUAAUAUGUUUUCGUUGGGGCGACGUAGAGCCAGAUUUAACGCUCUGAAAUUAAUGUGACGAUUAUUUAUGAUUAGAUAAACUACCUGAGGGAUAACAGCACAAUCUUUUAUUAAGGUUUGUGACCUCGAUGUUGGACUAGGAAGCCUUUAGACUAGCCGUUUAAAUGGGGGAUUCUGUUCGAAUUUUUACUCCU